UAAAACAAUGACUCACGCACACCAUGUC
RNAcentral lists this small RNA (28 nucleotides) under Bombyx mori (domestic silkworm). Its description in RNAcentral is "ovarian small RNA-18025". Lineage: Eukaryota; Metazoa; Arthropoda; Insecta; Lepidoptera; Bombycidae. The record is from RNAcentral.